RNAcentral lists this ribosomal RNA (466 nucleotides) under uncultured bacterium. Its description in RNAcentral is "partial 16S ribosomal RNA". It matches the Rfam family "Bacterial small subunit ribosomal RNA", at positions 28 to 507 of the family's 1533-position model. The record is from RNAcentral.
GACGAACGCUGGCGGCGUGCUUAACACAUGCAAGUCGAACGGAAAGGCCCUGCUUGCAGGGUACUCGAGUGGCGAACGGGUGAGUAACACGUGGGUGAUCUGCCCUGCACUUCGGGAUAAGCUUGGGAAACUGGGUCUAAUACCGGAUAGGAGCCAUCUUUAGUGUGGUGGUUGGAAAGUUAUUUCGGUGUAGGAUGAGCUCGCGGCCUAUCAGCUUGUUGGUGGGGUAAUGGCCUACCAAGGCGGCGACGGGUAGCCGGCCUGAGAGGGUGUACGGCCACAUUGGGACUGAGAUACGGCCCAGACUCCUACGGGAGGCAGCAGUGGGGAAUAUUGCACAAUGGGCGCAAGCCUGAUGCAGCGACGCCGCGUGGGGGAUGAAGGCCUUCGGGUUGUAAACUCCUUUCGCUAGGGACGAAGCUUUGUUGUGACGGUACCUAGAUAAGAAGCACCGGCUAACUACGUG